UACGGGGGGGGCAAGCGUUGUUCGGAAUUACUGGGCGUAAAGGGCUCGUAGGCGGCCAACUAAGUCAGACGUGAAAUCCCUCGGCUUAACCGGGGAACUGCGUCUGAUACUGGAUGGCUUGAGUUUGGGAGAGGGAUGCGGAAUUCCAGGUGUAGCGGUGAAAUGCGCAGAUAUCAGGAGGAACACCGAUGGCGAAGGCAGGUCUCUGGGCCAUUACUGACGCUGAGAAGCGAAAGCAUGGGGAGCGAACAGG
Molecule: ribosomal RNA, 253 nt
Filed under: uncultured bacterium
Lineage: Bacteria
Description: partial 16S ribosomal RNA
Rfam family: Bacterial small subunit ribosomal RNA
Source: RNAcentral